This 253-nucleotide ribosomal RNA is filed under the name uncultured bacterium. RNAcentral's name for it is "partial 16S ribosomal RNA". It matches the Rfam family "Bacterial small subunit ribosomal RNA", at positions 524 to 776 of the family's 1533-position model. The record is from RNAcentral.
GACGAAGGAUGCGAGCGUUAUCCGGAUUCAUUGGGUUUAAAGGGUGCGUAGGCGGCCCUGUAAGUCAGUGGUGAAAUCUCUCAGCUUAACUGAGAAACUGCCAUUGAUACUGCAGGGCUUGAGUACAGAUGAUGUUGGCGGAAUAUGACAUGUAGCGGUGAAAUGCAUAGAUAUGUCAUAGAACACCGAUUGCGAAGGCAGCUGACAAAACUGUAACUGACGCUGAGGCACGAAAGUGUGGGGAUCAAACAGG